This is a long non-coding RNA of Electrophorus electricus (electric eel), 253 nucleotides long. Lineage: Eukaryota; Metazoa; Chordata; Actinopteri; Gymnotiformes; Gymnotidae. The record is from Ensembl.
UCGCUACAGUCCUGAGAGGUCAAAGAAGCUUGGCUCUGAUCAGAGUGAAGCCUUCCCCGCUGAAGCACGGAAGGGGCGAAGGCGCUCAGAGCCAAUGAGUGUGAGCAGUACAAAAGCCAAGUGGGCCCUCCUGCAGGAGAUCAAAGAGCACAAAUCCAUUCACCACCUGCACACACAAUGAUGUUAAUUAUGGAGCCCAUCAGCGAAGGACUUUGUCAUGUCACUUCCUUAGUGACUGCAGACUUAGUUUUGA